AAUUGUAUUAUAAUUAUAAUUUUAAACUGUGUAUGAUUUAAUGAAAAAUCACUUAUGAAUUUUGUUUUAUUUUAGUUAAAUAUAUUUUGUGUACUUAUUAAGAUCAUUGUUUUAACUGGUUUGUGUUUAAAAUUAUUAAUUUGUUUCUAUAGUAUUAGAUAUCAUGUAAUAAUGUUUGUAUUUUUUUAUUUAUUGUCAUAUUAUUUUUUAGUGUAACAAACCCAAAGAAUGCAGUAAUAGUUAUAGAAAUAAUCUAAACAACAGUUUAAUGUUAACAUGAUUCAUUGUCUAUGAUAUUGUUAUUGUUAAAAAUAAUUGUUUUAGUAAUAAUGUAAUCAUAACUAUAAGAUUGUUGCAGUUUGUAUCAUUGUAAAACGUCAAUGACUAAAACAAAUUAUAAUGAAGUAUCAAUCGUGAAAGUACAAAGAAGAAACAAUUUUAAGUACCUAAUCUAAGCAUUUAAAGAAUAAAAGAUAUUAUCUCAUGUCAAUUUUAUAAAUAGUAUAAAGUUAUAAGGUACUUACUCUAUUAAUUAUAUUAAUUGUUACAUUUGUUUUACUUCUAGAUGAACCAAUUUACUUUGGCACAAAGAUGAACAGUAUUUGCAGUAAAAACAUAAUUUAAUUUUUAAUUUUAAUGUUUUUUUUAUUAUUAAAUAUAUACAUUAUAUGAUGUUAAUGAAUUUAUUGUGGAAAUUGGCAGUGAUCAUUGGAAAAGUUUGCAUUAUUUGAUAUGAAAUUUUUUAAAUGGUACUCAUUCGGUGGACGGUGAAGAAGAUAUUCAUUGCCCUAACAGAUGUGGUCGUAAGUAUAAGCACAAAGGCAGUGUGGCUAGACACUUGAAGUAUGAAUGCGGAGUGAAUCCUAAAUUUGAAUGCGUUAUUUGUCGUAAGCCUUUCAAGCAACGUAUCAAUCACAAGAUACAUAUGAUUAGAAUACAUAACUGUGUUAUGUAAAUAACAGUAUUAAUACACAUUGUUAAUUUAUAACUAUUAAUUAUUGAAUAUCUAUUAUAUAUUUAAAUUAUUGUUUUGCCAUAAAAUAAAAUUUAUCCUAUUAUUAUUAUACAGAAUUAAUAUUUUUUUAAAUAAAAUGCUAUGAAAUAUUUUGGGAUUUAGUUGCUUGUUGCAAACAAAAAAUAUCUGUAGAAAACUAAAUGAACCUAAUAAUCUUUACCUUCAAAUUAUCUUAGUUAUAAAUAACUGUAAGUUAUAAUGCAUUUUUGUGUAAAUAUGUGUGCUUCUAACAUAAUAGCUAGUUUAAUUACUUGUUUAACAUUAAUUAAUUAACAUUUUUUUUUUUCACAGAAAUGCGUAUACUAGGUAGUGAAUCAUUGGUCAACAGUAUUCAAGAAUUAAUUGUAUGCCCUCAAAAUUGCGGCAGAAGUUAUAAAAAUAUACCCUGUCUAAACAAACAUUUAAAAUAUGAAUGCAAUAAAGCACCACAAUUUCAGUGUCUUUUCUGCGAUAAAAAGUCUAAGCGUCCGGAUAAUUUAAGAACACAUAUGCAGUUAGUUCAUCGUUUCACUAAUAAAAUAAUAUUUAUUAAAAAACAUACAUUUCCCUAAUCCCUAAGGUAUUUUUUAAGUACUUUUUUUUCUUUUUUACUAGAACGAACAAGAUAUAAUCUGUAAUAAAUAGUAUACAAUAGUUAAUAGGGGGGGGGGGGGUACAAGUAUAAAGGACUAGACGGCAUGAUAGAAAGGGGGAUUCCAGGGACCCUACUUCCUAACUAUAGGCUGUUUUUGUGAUGUUUUAUUUAAUUUUUUUUUUUUAGUGUUAAGGAGGUCCCUGGGCCCAUUUUGUUUAAAAUGGUGUGGAGUUAAAAUAUUAAAAGGGUAAUGCGUAAAGUUAAUGAAAGUUAUCAAUUAUCUGAAACCUUGUUUUUCUAUAGAAUCUGUAGAAUUUCUUUUUUGUAUUGUUUUCUACAUUACUUAGUAUAUCUAGACUUAGUUUAUACACUUCUUAUUAUUUAAAUAGAGUUUUUGAUCAAUUUUUACUGUAAGAAUUGUUAAAAUUGUAAUAAAAUUGCCCACACUAAUUGCCUUAAUGGCUUUUAAAAUUCUUGUGUGCCCUAAUUUUUAAUGAGCGCCCCCAGACCAAAAGUCUGAGAACGCUUAUGAUUUCAACUGCUACAUAGGAGAUUAUAAGAUAAGUAAUUUAAGCAUUAAUUUUAGUAAGUCAAUAAAGCAAAUGAGCUGAGACAUGUUGGGAGUGUGUGGAUGUACGCUCUCUAGUAUACCAUAUUAUUAUGUAUGUAUUUUUUUAAUCAAGCAUUGAUGUUGGUAUGUUGUGUUUUAUUAAUAAAGUGUUUUUGUUUGAUUA
RNAcentral lists this long non-coding RNA (2323 nucleotides) under Acyrthosiphon pisum (pea aphid). Its description in RNAcentral is "uncharacterized LOC100571183". The record is from RNAcentral. Lineage: Eukaryota; Metazoa; Arthropoda; Insecta; Hemiptera; Aphididae.